AGGAUCAUUUGCAAUGGGCGAAAGCCUGACAAUGCGACGCUGCGUGGAGGAUGAAGGCCUUCGGGUUGUAAACUCCUGUCAUGGGGGAACAGGCGAGGGGAGCGAACACCUCCCCGGGUUGAGUGUACCCCAAGAGGAAUUGGCGGCUAACUCUGUGCCAGCAGCCGCGGUAAUACAGAGGCCAAGAGCGUUGUUCGGAUUUACUGGGCGUAAAGGGCGCGUAGGCGGCCGAGUGUGUCAAGUGUGAAAUCUCCGGGCCCAACCCGGAAAGUGCGCUUGAGACUGCUUGGCUCGAGGCCGGGAGGGGGAAUCGGAAUGCAGGGUGUAGCGGUGAAAUGCGUUGAUAUCCUGCAGAACACCGGAGGCGAAGGCGGAUUCCUUGAACGGCACUGACGCUGAGGCGCGAAAGUCGGGGGAGCAAACA
RNAcentral lists this ribosomal RNA (424 nucleotides) under uncultured bacterium. Its description in RNAcentral is "bacterial SSU rRNA". It matches the Rfam family "Bacterial small subunit ribosomal RNA", at positions 358 to 774 of the family's 1533-position model. The record is from RNAcentral.